This 920-nucleotide ribosomal RNA is filed under the name uncultured bacterium. Its description in RNAcentral is "bacterial SSU rRNA". It matches the Rfam family "Bacterial small subunit ribosomal RNA", at positions 8 to 938 of the family's 1533-position model. The record is from RNAcentral.
AGAGUUUGAUCCUGGCUCAGGAUGAACGCUGGCGGCGUGCCUAAUACAUGCAAGUCGAACGAGGUGCUUUUGUAGCAAUACGAGAGUAUCCUAGUGGCGAACGGGUGAGUAACGCGUUGGUGACCUACCCCAAAGUGUGGGAUAACAGUCCGAAAGGAUUGCUAAUACCGCAUGUGGUCAUUGGAUUUAGAAACUGAUGACUAAAGGAGCAAUUCGCUUUGGGAGGGACCUGCGUCCCAUCAGCUAGUUGGUGAGGUAAUGGCUCACCAAGGCGACGACGGGUAGGGGACCUGAGAGGGUGGCCCCCCACAAUGGAACUGAAACACGGUCCAUACACCUACGGGUGGCAGCAGUAGGGAAUAUUGCACAAUGGGCGAAAGCCUGAUGCAGCAACGCCGCGUGUGUGAUGAAGGCCUUCGGGUCGUAAAGCACUUUUCUGGGAGAUGAGAAAGGACAGUAUCCCAGGAAUAAGUCUCGGCUAACUACGUGCCAGCAGCCGCGGUAAAACGUAGGAGGCGAGCGUUAUCCGGAUUCACUGGGCGUAAAGCGCGUGCAGGUGGCGCGGUAAGUUGGGCGUGAAAUCUCCCGGCUCAACUGGGAGAGGUCGUUCAAUACUACCGUGCUUGAGAGCAGAAGAGGAAGAUGGAAUUCCCGGUGUAGUGGUGAAAUGCGUAGAUAUCGGGAGGAACACCAGUGGCGAAAGCGAUCUUCUGGUCUGUUUCUGACACUCAGACGCGACAGCUAGGGUAGUAAACGGGAUUAGAGACCCCGGUAAUCCUAGCCGUAAACGAUGUGGACUUGGCGUUGGUGGGUUAAACUCCAUCAGUGCCGUAGCAAACGCGAUAAGUUCACCGCCUGGGGACUACGGCCGCAAGGUUAAAACUCAAAGGAAUGACGGAAGGCGAAUCGCGCGCACCCAA